AUUUAUAUAGUUUAAAAAAAACAUUACACUUUCAUUGUAAAAUUAGAAUAACCUUAUAAAUA
Molecule: transfer RNA, 62 nt
Filed under: Hemisodorcus donckieri
Lineage: Eukaryota; Metazoa; Arthropoda; Insecta; Coleoptera; Lucanidae
Description: tRNA-Glu
Source: RNAcentral